CUUUUACUCGUUCAGUAUGGACUUUGCACGCCCCUUAAGAAAUAAUAAAUAAAGUGCAUAAUUUACCAUGAUACUCAUAUUAAUUAGUGUAUAGUCUUAGUGAAUUUGGAAAAUGAGUAAUUAAUGCUUGGGGUAAAACAGGAAAAGUAAAUUAUUUUUCCUCGACAUGCGAAAGUGGACAAGUAAAAUUGAAAAUUUAUUUUUGGAAUAGUGGACAAGUAAUAGUGAACGGAGGGAGUAUGUCAUGAUUUUUAUUGAUGUCGUGAUUUUUAUUCAGUACUUAUGUUUUAGUUAAUGAAAUAGCUCUCCAAAUAACAGCUUUAGGAAAGGGCUUUUGAGAGCUUGUUUGUUUGGCUACAUUUCCUAAUGUGACUGGAAUCGACAGUUUUGAUCCAUAUCAAGUUGGGCUUUGCUACUUUUGUUUUAUUCCAUGAUGUCAUUUCAGGUUUUCUGGAUAUUUACUGGCAGCACUAGGAUCUCUGUUGUGGCUACGGAAAAACAAACCCAAGACUUUGAUCCCUAUUAUAUAUGCAUGUGCUGGACUUGUGGCAACAAUUCCAUCCAUUACUAGUUAUCUGAGGGUGGCUUGGGAUGGCACCUUCUAAAAGUAGAAGGCUUCGAACUAUUCACCUCAUCGACAAUUGCUUUAAUCAGUUGGCAGUUUGUUGCAUGCCCAGAGACCGUCUAACUGAGGGAUUUUCUUGUAGUAGAUGAGAUGACAUAAGGUACUACGAGUACGAUCUAUCCGCUUCUGUAACCUUUAUGUAACUGUCAAGGCCAUAUAUCUUCCAAGAUAUUUUGGCAUAGGCGACCAAAAAAAGCUUUUUCCAUCAUUGAUUUCUAUAAUUAUAUUGUUAAUUGGCCUAGUAUCUGGUGUUUUGUGCAUGUGGAUGUACGUGCUAAUCGCAAUCUGUAAUAGUUGAUAUAGUAGCUUUUAGUUUCUGAUUACUGCUCAUUCCAAGAGGCGAUAUAUGAUAUUUGUGGAA
Lycium barbarum (goji berry) is the source of this 986-nucleotide long non-coding RNA. RefSeq lists it as uncharacterized. The record is from RefSeq and is a predicted model, not a curated record. The transcript has 4 exons. Lineage: Eukaryota; Viridiplantae; Streptophyta; Magnoliopsida; Solanales; Solanaceae.